GUCUUUAUAGUUGAAUUACAACGAUAGUUUUUCAGAUUAAUAGUCUUAGUUAAAAUCUAGGUGAAGAUU
Molecule: transfer RNA, 69 nt
Filed under: Narcine brasiliensis
Lineage: Eukaryota; Metazoa; Chordata; Chondrichthyes; Torpediniformes; Narcinidae
Description: tRNA-Glu
Rfam family: tRNA
About the family: Transfer RNA (tRNA) molecules are approximately 80 nucleotides in length. Their secondary structure includes four short double-helical elements and three loops (D, anti-codon, and T loops).
Source: RNAcentral